RNAcentral lists this Y RNA (96 nucleotides) under Carlito syrichta (Philippine tarsier). RNAcentral describes it as "Y RNA (ENSTSYG00000029840.1)". It matches the Rfam family "Y RNA". From Rfam's summary of the family: Y RNAs are components of the Ro ribonucleoprotein particle (Ro RNP), in association with Ro60 and La proteins. The Y RNAs and Ro60 and La proteins are well conserved, but the function of the Ro RNP is not known. The record is from Rfam by way of RNAcentral. Lineage: Eukaryota; Metazoa; Chordata; Mammalia; Primates; Tarsiidae.
GGCUGGUCCGAUGGUAGUGGUUUAUCAGAAUUUACUAACAUUAGUGUCACUGAAAUUGGUAUACAGCCUCCUACUGCUAAAUCUGACUGGCUUGAU